This 76-nucleotide small RNA is filed under the name Salix viminalis (osier). Lineage: Eukaryota; Viridiplantae; Streptophyta; Magnoliopsida; Malpighiales; Salicaceae. The record is from RNAcentral.
CAACGGCUAAUCCGUUGCAAAUGAAAAUUCCAGAAAAAGAAAAAAAAAAACAUGGUUUGCAACGGAUUAGCCGUUA